Sesamum indicum (sesame) is the source of this 484-nucleotide non-coding RNA. The record is from RefSeq and is a predicted model, not a curated record. Lineage: Eukaryota; Viridiplantae; Streptophyta; Magnoliopsida; Lamiales; Pedaliaceae.
UUUUUUCUUUUUUUUUUUGAACACCAAUUCAAUCGUCUUUUAUUUCAUCAAACGGAGACCUCAGCCCUCACAGUCACUUGUUUCAGAAAUAAAAGUAUCCCAGAAAUACACAAUCAGAAAUUGAUUACAGAAGUUCUUGCACCAGAUCUGGGAGGGGAUGAGAUGAACUGGAAGAUGUGGACGUUGCUCAAGCUCGGCAGAUUUCAUGGCGAUGGGAAUGCAGAUGAAAACGAUGCCAGCCAUGGCGAAUGCGGUAUUGCGCUUCCAGUGCUUGGUCAGACGUGGGGGAUGCCGAGUUACCUUCAAAACCACCAGGUCGAUAUCGUAAUCGCAUGUUGCACACUUCAUAACUUCAUUCGGAGAUACAGCAACGAUGACAUCAUAUUCAACGAACCGGAUGAAGACACUCCUCCUGACAUGGAUUCCUUUUACCAUAGGGGACAUCCAACCACUUCUGAGUUAGAAGCUCAACGCACCCUCCGAG